CCUACGGGUGGCAGCAGUGAGGAAUAUUGGGCAAUGGGCGAAAGCCUGACCCAGCCAAGUCGCGUGAGGGAUGAAGGCCCUACGGGUUGUAAACUUCUUUUGUCAGGGAGCAAUUGGGUCCACGCGUUGACUUAGCGAGAGUACCUGAAGAAAAAGCAUCGACUAACUCUGUGCAAGCAGCCGCGGUAAUACGGAGGAUGCGAGCGUUAUCCGGAUUUAUUGGGUUUAAAGGGUGCGUAGGCGGAAUAUCAAGUCAGCGGGAAAAAUUCGGGGCUCAACCCCGUCGUGCCGUUGAAACUGACGUUCUUGAGUGGGUGAGAAGUAUGCGGAAUGCGUGGUGUAGCGGUGAAAUGCAUAGAUAUCACGCAGAACUUCGAUUGCGAAGGCAGCAUACCGGCGCCCAACUGACGCUGAAGCACGAAAGCGUGGGUAUCGAACAGGAUUAGAUACCCGGGUAGUC
Molecule: ribosomal RNA, 460 nt
Filed under: uncultured bacterium
Lineage: Bacteria
Description: partial 16S ribosomal RNA
Rfam family: Bacterial small subunit ribosomal RNA
Source: RNAcentral